AAUAUUGGACAAUGGGCGCAAGCCUGAUCCAGCCACGCCGCGGGAGGGAUGAAGGCCCUAGGGUGUUAAAGCUCUUUCACCGGUGAAGAUAAUGACGGUCACCGGAGAAGAAGCCCCGGCUAACUUCGUGCCAGCAGCCGCGGUAAUACGCAGGGGGCUAGCGUUGUUCGGAAUUACUGGGCGUAAAGCGCACGGAGGCGGAAAUUUAAGUCCGGGGUGAAAUGCCGGGGCUCAACCCCGGAACUGCCUUUGAUACUGGAUGUCUGGAGUAUGGAAGAGGUGAGUGGAAUUCCGAGUGUAGGGGUGAAAUUCGUAGAUAUUCGGAGGAACACCAGUGGCGAAGGCGGCUCACUGGUCCAUUGCUGACGCUGAGGUGCGAAAGCGUGGGGAGCAAACAGG
This 399-nucleotide ribosomal RNA is filed under the name uncultured bacterium. RNAcentral describes it as "partial 16S ribosomal RNA". It matches the Rfam family "Bacterial small subunit ribosomal RNA", at positions 360 to 776 of the family's 1533-position model. The record is from RNAcentral.